This 926-nucleotide ribosomal RNA is filed under the name Bacillus subtilis. RNAcentral describes it as "bacterial SSU rRNA". It matches the Rfam family "Bacterial small subunit ribosomal RNA", at positions 29 to 943 of the family's 1533-position model. The record is from RNAcentral. Lineage: Bacteria; Bacillati; Bacillota; Bacilli; Caryophanales; Bacillaceae.
AGAAAGGGGGGGCGGGGCUAAUAAUGGCAAGUCGAGCGGACAGAUGGGAGCUUGCUCCCUGAUGUUAGCGGCGGACGGGUGAGUAACACGUGGGUAACCUGCCUGUAAGACUGGGAUAACUCCGGGAAACCGGGGCUAAUACCGGAUGGUUGUUUGAACCGCAUGGUUCAAACAUAAAAGGUGGCUUCGGCUACCACUUACAGAUGGACCCGCGGCGCAUUAGCUAGUUGGUGAGGUAACGGCUCACCAAGGCAACGAUGCGUAGCCGACCUGAGAGGGUGAUCGGCCACACUGGGACUGAGACACGGCCCAGACUCCUACGGGAGGCAGCAGUAGGGAAUCUUCCGCAAUGGACGAAAGUCUGACGGAGCAACGCCGCGUGAGUGAUGAAGGUUUUCGGAUCGUAAAGCUCUGUUGUUAGGGAAGAACAAGUACCGUUCGAAUAGGGCGGUACCUUGACGGUACCUAACCAGAAAGCCACGGCUAACUACGUGCCAGCAGCCGCGGUAAUACGUAGGUGGCAAGCGUUGUCCGGAAUUAUUGGGCGUAAAGGGCUCGCAGGCGGUUUCUUAAGUCUGAUGUGAAAGCCCCCGGCUCAACCGGGGAGGGUCAUUGGAAACUGGGGAACUUGAGUGCAGAAGAGGAGAGUGGAAUUCCACGUGUAGCGGUGAAAUGCGUAGAGAUGUGGAGGAACACCAGUGGCGAAGGCGACUCUCUGGUCUGUAACUGACGCUGAGGAGCGAAAGCGUGGGGGAGCGAACAGGAUUAGAUACCCUGGUAGUCCACCCGUAAACGAUGAGUGCUAAGUGUUAGGGGGUUUCCGCCCCUUAAUGCUCAGCUAACGCAUUAAGCACUCCGCCUGGGAGUACGGUCGCAAGACUGAAACUCAAGAAUUGACGGGGGCCCCACAACGGUGGAAGCAUGUG